This is a long non-coding RNA of Mauremys reevesii (Reeves's turtle), 340 nucleotides long. RefSeq lists it as uncharacterized. The transcript has 3 exons. The record is from RefSeq and is a predicted model, not a curated record. Lineage: Eukaryota; Metazoa; Chordata; Testudines; Geoemydidae.
AGCAGGUAGUACAAGGACAUGCUUUAUUUUAUUUAUUUUGCAGUGUCCUUUUUUGUUGCCAAAGAAACACAGACACCUGGACUCAGGACCUGGCAGUGUGUCCUGUCUACAACCUCACAAGAGUGGAUGUUAUUUUCCAAGAUCAGAGGAUCUUUCACCUUCUGACCAUUUAUUUCAGCACACCAGGGAAGUUCCAGAAGACUGGAAGAAAGAUAAUUUUGUGUCAUAUUUAAACAAAAUAAGCAGGAUGAUCUAGGUAAUUAUUGGCCCAUCAGUCUGAAAUCAAUCCUGGACAAGAUAAUGGAGCAGCUGAUACAGGAGUUAAUUAAUAAAGAAUUAA